AGCGGCGGACGGGUGAGUAACGCGUGGGUAACCUGCCUCAUAUAGGGGGAUAACAGUUGGAAACGGCUGCUAAUACCGCAUAAGCGCACAGUACCGCAUGGUACCGUGUGAAAAACUCCGGUGGUAUGAGAUGGACCCGCGUCUGAUUAGCUAGUUGGUGGGGUAACGGCCUACCAAGGCGACGAUCAGUAGCCGACCUGAGAGGGUGACCGGCCACAUUGGGACUGAGACACGGCCCAA
RNAcentral lists this ribosomal RNA (240 nucleotides) under uncultured bacterium. Its description in RNAcentral is "partial 16S ribosomal RNA". It matches the Rfam family "Bacterial small subunit ribosomal RNA", at positions 94 to 334 of the family's 1533-position model. The record is from RNAcentral.